RNAcentral lists this ribosomal RNA (487 nucleotides) under uncultured bacterium. RNAcentral's name for it is "partial 16S ribosomal RNA". It matches the Rfam family "Bacterial small subunit ribosomal RNA", at positions 28 to 507 of the family's 1533-position model. The record is from RNAcentral.
GACGAACGCUGGCGGCGUGCUUAACACAUGCAAGUCGAACGGGCUCUGUCUGUCUGUGUGCUGGGUGGGGUUUGUGGCGAACGGGUGAGUAAUACGUGAGUAACCUGCCCUCUUCUUUGGGAUAAGCCUUGGAAACGGGGUUUAAUACUGGAUAUUCCUGUCUGGUCGCAUGGCUGGGUGGGGAAAGUUUUUUUCGGUGGGGGAUGGGCUCGCGGCCCAUCGGCUUGUUGGUGGGGUGAUGGCCUGCCAAGGCGGCGACGGGGAGCCGGCCUGAGGGGGGGUCCGGGGACACUGGGACUGAGAAGCGGCCCAGGGACCGACGCGAGGCAGAGGUGGGGGAGAGAGGACGAUGGGCGGAAGCCUGAUGCAGCGACGCAGCGUGGGUGAUGACGGCUUGCGGGUUGUAAGCCUCUUUCGGCGGGGGACAAGGCUCUGCUUGGUGGUGGGGUUGAGGGUACCCGGUGAAGAAGCGCCGGCUAACUACGUG